This 497-nucleotide ribosomal RNA is filed under the name uncultured Glomeromycotina. RNAcentral describes it as "partial small subunit ribosomal RNA". It matches the Rfam family "Eukaryotic small subunit ribosomal RNA", at positions 591 to 1092 of the family's 1831-position model. The record is from RNAcentral. Lineage: Eukaryota; Fungi; Glomeromycota.
CCAAUAGCGUAUAUUAAAGUUGUUGCAGUUAAAAAGCUCGUAGUUGAAUUUCGGGACCAGUAUGUUGGUCGUGCUUCGGUACGUACUGUCAUUACUGGUUUCUCCCUUCUGAAGAACCUUGAUGUCAUUAAUUUGGUGUCAUGGGGAAUCAGGACUGUUACUUUGAAAAAAUUAGAGUGUUUAAAGCAGGCAUACGCUUGAAUACAUUAGCAUGGAAUAAUGAAAUAGGACGUUUGAUUCUAUUUUGUUGGUUUCUAGGAUCGACGUAAUGAUUAAUAGGGUUAGUUGGGGGAAUUAGUAUUCAAUUGUCAGAGGUGAAAUUCUUGGAUUUAUUGAAGACUAACUACUGCGAAAGCAUUUGCCAAGGAUGUUUUCAUUAAUCAAGAACGAAAGUUAGGGGAUCGAAGACGAUCAGAUACCGUCGUAGUCUUAACCAUAAACUAUGCCGACUAGGGAUCGGAUGAUGUUAUUUUUAAUGACUCAUUCGGCGCCUUACG